AUUAUAGUAACAUAGUGUUCUGCCUCGUGCUCUGUUUUCCCCCAGGAUUUCCGGAUUGUUCCUUUGCUCUUGGAUUACUCGGCCUUAGUUGGAUUUACCCCCUGUUUGGAUUACCUUUUCCUAUUGUUUGGACAUUUCUCCUCCUCCUCUUCCUGGACCCCAGCAGGUGCCCAGGACCACAACAUGCAGGAGGAGGAAGGCGGCUGUAGCUGCUGCUGCUACAGGAGCGGGACGCUGCCUGGUAGCAAAACCCACAGAGAUGCAAACAUUCAGUUCAUGUUGAACAAGACACAAGAAAAGAGUGGGAGCUGUGAGACAUGCAAUUGCCGGGUAGCUAGGCAACCCUUGAGAGCUGCUCUGGAAGACCUUGAGUUGUCUGCCAUAAUAUCGCAGGCAAGUAUUACUGUUUGGAAGCUAGCUGGGACACAGGAUCUUUUUUUUAAGUGUCAGAGCAAGUUGAUGGGAUAAAUCAGAAUUUUUGGGGAGUGAAUGAAUUUUGGAUAGGAUUCUUAAGUAGGCCACCUUGAAAAUUAUGCUCAGCUCCAAAAAGAAAUUUCAUCAUGUACUCCAAUGAAUAUUCAAAGUGGUUUUAAUAUUAAAUUGUUUAUAAUAUGCUAUACAAUACAGUGCUGUAUGUCUUGUUCAAGCAACAUUUUAAAACACUGAACUAUUUUAUACUAUAUAUCUCAGCUCUGGUUUAUUAUUCAUAGCUGUUUGGCUACACAACAAGGACAUCCGAAACCUUCUGCUCCUGCUCAUGCACAAAUUUCGGACUUCAUGGUACUCGUUGGCAGCCAGAUAAAAGCAAAGCAAAGUGAUUCACCUGUGGCAAGAGGAGCCCUUUGCUUUUAGGGGUCACUCACCCACAUAUGAUGUGGGUUCAAAGCAUCCUUACCCUAGAGAGCGAGACAGAAGUUCGGACAGAGACACAGAGAGAGAGGCAGCAUAGAGAGAUGUAGUAAAGAGAGGAAAUGAAAAAGGUGUGUCGGAGGAGAAAGGGAAAGAGAAGAUGGGAAAGCAGUGACACAGGAAAUGGAGAAAGAAUGGGGCAGGGAAAGUGCACUGGACAGGAGCAGGUAUAGAGCAGGUAUAGAGAUUUCAGUGUGUGUGUGUGUGUGUGUGUGUGUGUGUGUGUGUGUGUGUGUAUAUGUGUGGGGGGAGGGGGGUGAAGUUAGGUGCUGGCUAUGAGAGCAACAGCAGUGUGGGCACUCAAGUAGAAUAUUUUUACAGCAGGAGAGCCUCUAAGUGUCCCUGUUAUUAGGUGUGUUUGUGUUGCCUAGCAAGGAAACAAGGGUCUUACGGUACAUUAUCAAUCUUCUCUAAAGAUGUCAGAAAAACAAAAUGUUAAUGAGCAUGUGUCCAUCACUUUUAAAAAUAGCAUAAUGUGAAUCAAACCGCUCUGACUAUCUGACAAUCAAACAAUGUCAAAUGACAGCAGUAACAAACCACUUAUUCUUGUUUUCAUCAUUUAAAGUAUAGGUUUCAGUGGUAUAUUCACGAUGCUCAGAGAAAAUUGUUCCAGAUAUAUAAGGAUUUAUCUGAUUUAUCUAAAUUAUACACAUACACAAGAGCUUUGUGUGCACAGUAACGUUCUAUUUACAUUAUCAUUAGCUAUACAAAAGGGUAGAUUUAAUGGUUUACUUGAAGAGAAAAAGCUGUUUGUUGUGAUUUUGGUGAGAUUGAAGAUGAAACCAUUUUGUGUUUUGUUGCUCAUUAUAUGAUGAUUUACAAGCUACACUUUUUUUGUAAAAUGUUCUUCAUUUCUGAUGAGUUCUUCUGAUUAAGUGAAUACAAAAAAUGUAUCGUGUUUUUGGAGGGGUCUUUUAUGUGGCUGAUUUUAUUUGUAGGGCUUAGGACAAAAUUUAAAGUUGCAAUGUAAUGUUAUAUGCAUAAGAAGUUAAGUUCUUGUCAGACAAAUGUCUUUGUACUGCAGCUGUGUUUAUGUUGUCUUAUAAGUUCACGUGGGCUGGGCACUCACAUGUGCAUGACACAAUAAAGAACAUGUUGCCCAUAACUUGUCUUUUCCUCACCUGAACUCAUCAAAAGCAGGGGAUACCUUAGAAGGCAGUGUUGUCAUGGAUGAACCAAGAACCCUCCUCAGGCAGUGUGCCUCCUGUCUGGCCCAUUUAAUGAACUGCACCUGGAGUACCCAAAGUGCAUCAAAAAUAGGUGAUGCUGAACCUGGAUAAAGGUGAACCCACACAGACACAAAAUUCUAAUUCUAAAAAAUGUUCCUCCAAGAAAAGGGCUGGCCUGUCCUGACAAAAUGUAUGGUACACAGCAUGAUUUGUAUGUGUCAACAAACAAUGUGUGUUUUAUUUGUGUUAUGUCAUUUAAA
Molecule: long non-coding RNA, 2338 nt
Organism: Micropterus salmoides (largemouth bass)
Lineage: Eukaryota; Metazoa; Chordata; Actinopteri; Centrarchiformes; Centrarchidae
Exons: 3
Source: RefSeq, a predicted model, not a curated record